CUUAACCAUUAGAAUCCUACUGAGCACUGCAAUAAUCUGAAAUUAAAGGAAGAGAUACGUAGUAAUAGGCCCAUAAUUUCAGCACAGAAGUAAUUUCAGAUUUGUCCGGAUGUAAAUUUAUCCUUGAAAAGUUAAAGAAUAAAACCACAGUUGUAUUCCAUAUAUAUACUGAAGAAAUUAUGCAGUGAUUUAAAUGUGUCGAGCUUUUAAAAUGCACCUAAAUAAAUUAAGCCCAUGCCUCUUUAUUUUUUGUUGUUUUCAGUCUAUCUAGCUCCUUUGAAGUUGGGCUAUGGAACACGUUAAUGCAUAGGCUUGAGAUGCAGAAGCAUGAGCAUCAGACUAACCUGGUCUGGCUAACUGGAACCAGUCCAGAUGUGGCCUUCAUGUUUUCAUCCUGCUGUAAAAGCUGUCAGAGUUGGCAGUUCAACCUCAAUUCUACCCAUACAGGUUGCACCGUAUCCUAACUUGUAAUUUGCUGAUUUCAGAGAGAUGAUGACUCAGCUGAAACUGGUAACAGCUGCUGAAGAAAAUG
Molecule: long non-coding RNA, 532 nt
Filed under: Numida meleagris (helmeted guineafowl)
Lineage: Eukaryota; Metazoa; Chordata; Aves; Galliformes; Numididae
Description: lncRNA (ENSNMEG00000019601.1)
Source: RNAcentral